AGAGUUUGAUCCUGGCUCAGGACGAACGCUGGCGGCGUGCCUAACACAUGCAAGUCGAGCGGAGAAAGAUGAAGAUUUAUCUAAGUCUUUCUUAGCGGCGGACGGGUGAGUAACGCGUGGGCAACCUGGCCUAUAGAGGGGGAUAACACUAAGAAAUUGGUGCUAAUACCGCAUAACAUUAUCUGAUAGCAUUAUUGGAUAAUCAAAGGAGAAAUCCGCUAUAGGAUGGGCCCGCGUCUGAUUAGCUAGUUGGUGAGGUAACGGCUCACCAAGGCGACGAUCAGUAGCCGACCUGAGAGGGUGAUCGGCCACACUGGAACUGAGACACGGUCCAGACUCCUACGGGAGGCAGCAGUGGGGAAUAUUGCGCAAUGGGGGAAACCCUGACGCAGCAACGCCGCGUGGAGGAAGAAGGUCUUCGGAUUGUAAACUCCUGUCAUUGGGGACGAAUAAUGACGGUACCCAAGGAGGAAGCCACGGCUAACUACGUGCCAGCAGCCGCGGUAAUACGUAGGUGGCUAGCGUUGUCCGGAAUUAUUGGGCGUAAAGGGCGCGUAGGCGGCCUGAUAAGUCAGAUGUGAAAACCCGAGGCUCAACUUCGGGAGUGCAUUUGAAACUGUCGGGCUAGAGUGCAGGAGAGGUAAGUGGAAUUCCUAGUGUAGCGGUGAAAUGCGUAGAUAUUAGGAGGAACACCAGUGGCGAAGGCGACUUACUGGACUGUAACUGACGCUGAGGCGCGAAAGCGUGGGGAGCAAACGGGAUUAGAUACCCUGGUAGUCCAA
This 782-nucleotide ribosomal RNA is filed under the name uncultured bacterium. Its description in RNAcentral is "bacterial SSU rRNA". It matches the Rfam family "Bacterial small subunit ribosomal RNA", at positions 8 to 798 of the family's 1533-position model. The record is from RNAcentral.